CGGGUGCCCAGCUCCGGGCGGGCGGCCUCGGCCCUUCUCCCUGUGUGGCCUGGACUCAGUCCCGCUGCGCCCUUGGCGAGUCGGGGAAGGAGGUGGCGGGCGAGGGUGCUCCGGACGAGGCCAGGCAGGGGGAGGCGAACCUGCGACUCGCCGGCCCGUGUCCCCCGCGUCUCCGGAGGCCCGGGGCGCGGGCACCUUCGGUUGAACGGAAGAGGAGCGGGGAGCGAGGGAGGCGGCAGUUUGUGUCUCGGGGCUCUUCCGCCCCUUCUCGCCUCCUCCUAAGACAGACAGACGCCACCCCACCUGGGGCCGAGCGGGAACUGUGGGACCGUGAUUCGGUCCCCAGGUCCAGACGCCCGGCCUCGGGGGAGGACACGGUCCCAGCCCGCGUGGGCACCGCGUGGGACCGGGCACGGGGCUGCCAGGGCUGGGUCCCCUCUGGCCCCGGCCUGGGACACCGCGGGCCUGGGGCGGCGGGCCCCUUUGUGUGACUAAAUUUGGCAAGAAUAUGAAUCCGAGCCAGCCUUUCCACGUGUGCUCCCAGCUCCCAGCUGAGGAGGCCAAGGGUUCUCUUCCGGUGCUCAGGGAAAGCGCCUGACUGACAGCACCGACAUCCAAUGCCCAGGAAUCACGGCAACACCGGCUGGCCAAGCGUGGAGAGGACAAUUUUCCACACUUAGUUCUAUAUGCAGAAAGACUCAUCAGUGAAGUUAUCUUCGCCAAGAAUGCAUUUACCCGGAACACAGCCGGUUUCUAGCUCUUUCCCUGGCUGCAGAGCUGUGCUUAGCUCAGAGUGAGCAACCAGGGGUGAAUUUGGAGGACUGAGCAUGGCAAGGCAAAGAGUUU
Molecule: long non-coding RNA, 846 nt
Filed under: Heterocephalus glaber (naked mole-rat)
Lineage: Eukaryota; Metazoa; Chordata; Mammalia; Rodentia; Bathyergidae
Description: lncRNA (ENSHGLG00000042199.1)
Source: RNAcentral